GCCAGCGGCAAGAACAUGUUAAAUUCACCUGUUCCCGGGUUGGCGGAUCACUGAAGUAACAUUGUGCGUGGUUAUCAUCUGGAUGGGUAACCGUUUGGGAGGAAACACGUCCUGCUGGCU
Molecule: ribosomal RNA, 120 nt
Filed under: Diaphorina citri (Asian citrus psyllid)
Lineage: Eukaryota; Metazoa; Arthropoda; Insecta; Hemiptera; Psyllidae
Source: RNAcentral